This is a non-coding RNA of Jatropha curcas, 1601 nucleotides long. The record is from Rfam. NCBI's taxonomy places the organism in Eukaryota, Viridiplantae, Streptophyta, Magnoliopsida, Malpighiales, Euphorbiaceae.
GCCAACUUGAGUUUGAUGAUGGCUCUGAUUGAACGCUAUCCAAAUGCUUGACACAUGCUAAUCGUACGGUAUUAUUUAUACAAAUAGAUAAUGCAGUGGUGUACAGGUGAGUAUAUGAUAAUUUGACUGCCUUAGAGUAAGGAACAAAUUCCUUAUAUGUUUGUAUUGGUAAACCAUACAAAGAAAAGAAGAAAUUCGCUUUAAGAUGUUCGUUAUUUUUCGGGUAAGUAGUAGUUAAGGUAAUUGCUUAACUAGCUUAAGCUCGUAAUCGAAACUGAGAGGUUUAUCGAUCACAUUGGGUCUGAAAAAACCCCAAUACGUAUUGUACAGCAGUGAGGAAUAUUGGUCAAUAGUCUAACGACUGAACCAGCAACUUGGAAGAAUGUGCAUUAAUUAUUAUAUUAAUACAAAACUGGCUAUCCUUAUAAAGUUCUAGAUAGAAUAAUGAAAGAUGACAAUUUACUAUCUAUGUGUCUUGACCAAAUCUUGUGCCAGCAGUCGCGGUAAUACAAGGGAGACUAGUGUUAUUCAUCUUUAUUAGGUUUAAAGGGUACCUAGACCGUCUAUUUUGCCAGGCAAAUCAGUUCCUGCCGACGACUACUAAAAAAAAUUAGCUUUACAGGUAUACUUUAAAAUUGGAACAAAAUAGACUAGAGUUUUUUGUGGGAGGAAUAUGUAAGUACUAAUAGAGUAGAGUUAAUAUUUUGUAAUACUAUUAGGACUGGUAACGGUGAAAACAAUCCUCUAUAAAAAACUGACGUUGAGGGACGAAGGCUUGGGUAACGAAUAGGAUUAGAUACCCUAAUAGUCCAUGCAGAAAAUUAUGAGUGCCAUAAACUACUUGUUUAUAAAUGAAAGUGUAAGCAUUCCACCUCAAGAGUAAUUUGGCAACAUUGAAACUGAAAUCAUUAGACCGUUUCUGAAACCAGUAGUGAAGUAUGUUAUUUAAUUCGAUAAUCCUCGAAAAACCUUACCACAACUUGAAUAAUAAUUAAAUUUAAUUAUUACAAGCGUUGCACGGCUGUCUCCAGUUAAUGUCGUGAGAAUUGGUUAGAUCCUGUAAAUUAACGUAAGCCCAUUCUUUAUUUUUAAAUCUGAAGAUAUCAUUUCUCGGGAAAGGGGUAGUGAUAUCUUGACUAUAAAGAAGAUCGUCAAUAUAUUGAAUAUUAUAAAAGGGACUAAGACAAGUCAUCAUGACCUAAACUCAGUUGUGGGCUAUAGACGUGCCACAUGUGCCUAGACAAAGGGAUGCAAAAUUGUGAAUUUGAGCUAAUCCCCAAAAUAGGAUAAAAAUUAUGAAUUGUAGUCUGUAAUUCGACUACAUGAAAAAGGAAUUACUAGUAAUCGUGAAUCACCACGUCACGGUGAAUCUAAUCUCAGAUAGGUACUAACCACUCGUCAGGCACUGAAAGGAGUAUGUGCAAUAAGUUUGGUUUUUAUUAGGUUUUCUUAUUAUGAUUUUAUUCUUAAUAAGAAUGAUUUUAUUCUUAAGUAUUUUUAUAGUAAUAGCUUAGUAGAUAAUCUUCGUAUGCGUGACUCUAAUUGGUGUUAAGUCGAAAUACGGUUCGUGUAGUGGAAAUUGCACGGGAUUCAUUAAACUU